GUGGGGAAUAUUGGACAAUGGCCGGAAGGCUGAUCCAGCCAUGCCGCGUGCGGGAAGACGGCCCUAUGGGUUGUAAACCGCUUUUGCGAGGGAGCAAUAAGAGCAACGAGUUGCGCGAUGAGAGUACCUCGCGAAUAAGCAUCGGCUAACUCCGUGCCAGCAGCCGCGGUAAUACGGAGGAUGCAAGCGUUAUCCGGAUUUAUUGGGUUUAAAGGGUGCGCAGGCGGCUUGUUAAGCGGGAGGUGAAAUGCCGGCGCUCAACGUCGGAAGUGCCUCCCGAACUGGUGAGCUAGAAUGACUCUGCCGUGGGAGGAAUGUGUAGUGUAGCGGUGAAAUGCUUAGAGAUUACACAGAACACCGAUUGCGAAGGCAUCUCACGAAGGGUUGAUUGACGCUGAGGCACGAAAGCGUGGGGAUCAAACAGG
This 425-nucleotide ribosomal RNA is filed under the name uncultured rumen bacterium. Its description in RNAcentral is "bacterial SSU rRNA". It matches the Rfam family "Bacterial small subunit ribosomal RNA", at positions 354 to 776 of the family's 1533-position model. The record is from RNAcentral.